Pimephales promelas (fathead minnow) is the source of this 3373-nucleotide non-coding RNA. Lineage: Eukaryota; Metazoa; Chordata; Actinopteri; Cypriniformes; Leuciscidae. The record is from RefSeq and is a predicted model, not a curated record.
CUUCAACAUUUUCUGCAUCCGCUUAAAAGACGACUGUCAACUAACGGUGAUAUUACUGCUGUAAUAACGUAUCUAUUCACCUUAUUUCGCGGUUUCCUCUGAGAAAUCCGCUGUGCGAGGAUCCUUUUUAUAAGGUAUUUAACUCCCGAAUAGUGUGACUGUUAUUAUUUUCCUUUGUCCAGUUCAUUUCUUUUACUUUUUACACAAAAGGCCCGAAGAGAGGGGUGAUUAUUUUCAUUGCAUCAAGACGACAGCAGGGCGAUGUCGGAAGCCCUUUUCCUCACAUUCCAGUCUCAGCUCUCCGUUGUCAUGGAGACCGUCCUCAAAUCAGCCAUGUUUGAAAUAACUAGGCUGGUGGAAGACAGCUUCCUCGAGGAAGUGGGUCAUCGUAAACAAGAGGUGGAAGCAUUGAAACGAAGGCUGCAGUUGUCUGAGAGUAAACUGAGGGAGAAGGAGAGGGAAUGGGAACGGGGGAGGAAGAUACAGUGCUCUGACUGCGGCCGAACAGGAGAUUCCAGCAGCAGAGAUGAGAGCCAGCCUGCAGAGACAGUCAGAGGAGCCAAUGCCCUUUGUUUAGGCCUAAGCCUGAGAGAUCAGUCAACCAAUCAGCCUACAUUGACAGAAGAAAUGUGGAGUACAAGACAACGCCUGGAGGCUAACAAACAAACAACAACAAAUUCGCACUUUAAAGAGAAGAACGAUGUACACAGGCAUAGUGCAAAAGAGAUCAUCACACCUAACUGCAGUGCACCAAUUCCUCAGGAUUUUCUGCAGAGGCUUCUGGGAAAUUCAGCAAUCCAGAGCGAGUCCACCAGUGUCUUCAAAGCCAAAGGGAAUGAUUUAGACCAAUCCGAAAAGGACUUUACUCUUGAUAAGGAAAUGGACUCAAACCACUCAAGAGUGAUACAUAGCCCUUCGGCUCAGGAUGCGCACGAGGAUUUGCCAUCGUCUUCACCAAACGAUAGAGUAAAAUCAGAGACAGAGCUGGAUCUUCUGUCAGUCAAGGAAGAGGAAGAGAUGGUUCCAGUGUGGGAUAGCGUCAACAGAGACGACGGUUGCCACGCAGAAAUGUCUGAUCCGAGUCAGGGAGAGCUCAGAGGAUCUUGUGAUCAGGAGGAGAUACAGGUAGAAAGCUUUCCAGGUCUAAACUCUCUCGACAUGCCAGACGCCACCUCAUAUUUCACACCUUAUUCAGUGAACACAUUGGCACAUCAAGGUAUUAGGGCACAAUAUAAUCAUUUAUGCACGACAGAGCUGAUGCUAUCUAGCGUACCAGAGAGGUCAAAUUCAUUUGUCAAACCAGAAAAUGAACAAAGUUAUCCUGGUUCAGAAAGUUCUGUCCGCUUUUCCCACAAUGACGUUUGUCCAGGUGAGAAAACGGUCAGUCACGCGCAAUACCCAAAGUGUUUCUCCCAGGACAAACAUGGGACGCCCGCACAGAUCCACGAGGGAAGACCCCACCAUUGCCUCCAAUGUGGGAAAAUGUUUGCGAGAGCAUGCGACCUCAAGGCUCAUGCGCAGAUCCACAAGGGCAAGAAACCUCUGAGCUGUUCAACGUGCGAGCAGACGUUUGCGUACAACUUCGAGCUCAAGGUUCACCAGCGAAACCACUCAGGAGAGCGACCUCACGUCUGUCCGCACUGCGGCAAGGCCUUCGCUCGGAUGAGCAACUUCAGGCAGCAUCAGAACAUCCACACGCGGGAGAAACUCUUCAGCUGCACUCAAUGCGGGAUGCGAUUCAAUCGAGCCACCAACCUGCGAGUUCACAUCAGACGACACAGCCACGCUGGGAAGUCUUGCAAUUGCCCUUAUUGUGGAAAGAGCUAUCUGAAUCCCAGGCAAAUGAAGACUCAUUUAUUGAAAGCCCAUGGGAGAGGAGGGAAAUAAUAAUGUAUUUAAUUUCCACUUGUUUUUUGAUCAAAUCGUGUUUAUAUACUAUAAAUGGUCCCGUCAUUGCCACCUUAAAGACAACUGAACAGGAGCUGGACAAAUUGUUAUGCAUGGAAUCAUUUUAACAAGGAAACUUAGGUUUCCCUUAUCUAAUAAUACAUGCAUAUUGAAAUUGAAAUGACAGAUUUACUCCCAAAGGAAUUGUGCUGUUGUGCGAGUAAUGUGUAAUAGUUGGUAUAGAAUAUGUAUUUGAUGUUUUUAUGUAUUCCCUCCAACAACAGUAAAGAUGCAGUAUGAUGCAGCAUAUCCUCUCUCCUGAGAAUGUUUGUGGGUUUUUUUAAUUCACUAAAAAGAGACCCCGGCCUUCACUUAAAUGAUGUUAUGUCCCUGUCGUUUCAACUUUCAUGGCAUUUUGUUGGAAAAAGUAAAUGAACCAUCAGAUGUAGCGACUGGUAACACAUCUAUCUCACCUCAACAAGUCAGUCAGUCCAAAAAUGCUCCAUUUCCUUUACUUUAUUCGUCUAUUCAGACUUCAAGUCUUCUUUACGGUGUUUUCUAUUUUGUAUUUAUUUGCUGUGGAUUUGAUGAACACUGAUGUUGGACAAUGCAAGACUUCCUCCUCCUUAGCCAUUUCCACAAGAGUUCUGUGAUCUCCUGCAGCAUUGUGUCUUGAUGCCUGCCUCUCCUGGAGUGAUUGUAAUCGGACAACCUUUAACCCCUACACACAGAUUGGCCGAAGGUUUGCAGAACACCCUUCCACAGAACAAGGAAAUUCACUUCCCGUGAACAGGCAAAGGACAUUCAGCCUUGUGGCCAGGGAGAUCCUGACUCAGUUUCAGGUGUGGCAGAAGGCUUGCUAUAGCAGGAACAUAGAUUGGGGCCCGAUUACCGCGAAGAUCAUAUCUGCACUGCCACAGUUGUAUGGGCGGGAGGCAGAGGUGAUUGUCAGAUGUACUAAGAUGCUACACAACCGCAGGGAUUACCUUCGAAGGAGGGCAAAGGUUAGACAGAGUUCAUAGGUUUAAAGAUUUAAUCUCAUUAUUUCAAAACCUUAUUGCGUUGUUUGAUGAUAAAUCAUACAUAUUAUGUCAUAAUGUAUAUGGCACAUAAUUGUGUGAAUGAAGGCAAUUUUCCAUAGGGCUUGACAAUUUGAUCUGCUGUAUGAUAAACAAAUAACAUAUUGCUUAUCAUGGAUGAAAGCAAAUUAUUUUAACAGUUUUCGACUAAAAAAAAUAACAAAAGAAAAAAAUAUUCUACAGUACAAUAAAUAAAAAAACCUUUUAAAUUUUACAUGAUAUGUUUAACAUAAAACAUUGCAUAGGUGUUCUGAAAAUCCACUAGCACAGAAUGAUCUACCCAGACAAUAUUUUAAGUUGUAUUCUUGUUUAUACAUCAUAACAGCUUUAGUUAAUCCAAAAAAAUAUAUAUACAAUUUUAAAGCAUAAAAAUAUUUGUAGAUAUUUAGGAAACAUGCUAAGUUAAC